ACGUAGGGGGCGAGCGUUAUUCGGAAUUACUGGGUGUAAAGGGUAUGUAGGCGGAUCUUCAAGUCGCGUGUCAAAGUCCAGUGCUCAACGCUGGGUGUGAGCGCGAUACUGACGAGCUUGAGGCCUGGAGAGGUGAGCGGAAUUCCCGGUGUAGUGGUAAAAUACGUAGAGAUCAGGAGGAGCACCAACGGCGCAGGCGGCUCACUAGACAAUUUCUGACGCUAAGAUACGAAAGCGUGGGGAACAAACAG
RNAcentral lists this ribosomal RNA (251 nucleotides) under uncultured prokaryote. RNAcentral describes it as "partial 16S rRNA". It matches the Rfam family "Bacterial small subunit ribosomal RNA", at positions 525 to 775 of the family's 1533-position model. The record is from RNAcentral.